RNAcentral lists this ribosomal RNA (497 nucleotides) under uncultured bacterium. RNAcentral describes it as "partial 16S ribosomal RNA". It matches the Rfam family "Bacterial small subunit ribosomal RNA", at positions 28 to 507 of the family's 1533-position model. The record is from RNAcentral.
GAUGAGCGCUGGCGGCGUGCCUAAUACAUGCAAGUCGAGCGAACAGACGAGGAGCUUGCUCCUCUGACGUUAGCGGCGGACGGGUGAGUAACACGUGGAUAACCUACCUAUAAGACUGGGAUAACUUCGGGAAACCGGAGCUAAUACCGGAUAACAUGUUGAACCGCAUGGUUCAACAGCGAAAGACGGUCUUGCUGUCACUUAUAGAUGGAUCCGCGCCGCAUUAGCUAGUUGGUAAGGUAACGGCUUACCAAGGCAACGAUGCGUAGCCGACCUGAGAGGGUGAUCGGCCACACUGGAACUGAGACACGGUCCAGACUCCUACGGGAGGCAGCAGUAGGGAAUCUUCCGCAAUGGGCGAAAGCCUGACGGAGCAACGCCGCGUGAGUGAAGAAGGUCUUCGGAUCGUAAAACUCUGUUAUUAGGGAAGAACAAAUGUGUAAGUAACUAUGCACGUCUUGACGGUACCUAAUCAGAAAGCCACGGCUAACUACGUG